Molecule: unclassified non-coding RNA, 270 nt
Filed under: Basidiomycota sp.
Lineage: Eukaryota; Fungi; Basidiomycota
Description: partial contains small subunit ribosomal RNA, internal transcribed spacer 1, and 5.8S ribosomal RNA
Rfam family: Eukaryotic small subunit ribosomal RNA (bases 1-47)
Source: RNAcentral
AAAGUCGUAACAAGGUUUCCGUAGGUGAACCUGCGGAAGGAUCAUCAAUAAUCCAAAUGAUUAGUGACUUCAAAACUCACUGAUCUAACCUUCUUGUGAACCGUUUAUUGUAUUUAUCGGUUGGGAGUAUAACUGAGAUGUCAACUAUGUUGCCAGAUCAACUCCCAAUCGAUUAUUUUUAUACAAACUAUUUUAUUUUUAAAGUUGAUUAUUUUACAGGAAACUGUACUAAUAUAUAUACAACUUAUAGCGAUGGAUCUCUAGGCUCUG